CGCCGUCGACCAACCAAUCCCGCCCAAUCUGUUUGCUUCUCGCCGUCGACCAACCAAUCUCGCCCAAUCUGUUUCCUUCUUCUUCUCGCCGUCGACCACCGUUCUCAUCAUCACUGUGACCAGCGUGCAUCAUCGGAACGUUUCUCAUAGGAAGCCCCUAGGAAGAUGGCCCGUCUUUUAUUACGGCAUGGGACAUAUGCUUAAUGACAUAACUGCUGCUUGCUGGUUCACCUAUCUAUUACUGUUCUUGAGUGAUAUUGGACUUUCACCAAGAUAAAAAAGGGAAAAGGAGUGUUGCCUGGACGUAAAGAGAUUUACAUUGAUACCCGUACUCGUAAAGAUG
This is a non-coding RNA of Cicer arietinum (chickpea), 343 nucleotides long. Lineage: Eukaryota; Viridiplantae; Streptophyta; Magnoliopsida; Fabales; Fabaceae. The record is from RefSeq and is a predicted model, not a curated record.